This 483-nucleotide ribosomal RNA is filed under the name uncultured bacterium. RNAcentral describes it as "partial 16S ribosomal RNA". It matches the Rfam family "Bacterial small subunit ribosomal RNA", at positions 28 to 507 of the family's 1533-position model. The record is from RNAcentral.
GACGAACGCUGGCGGCGUGCUUAACACAUGCAAGUCGAACGCUGAAGCUCAGCUUUUGUUGGGUGGAUGAGUGGCGAACGGGUGAGUAACACGUGAGUAACCUGCCUCCUUCUUUGGGAUAACGCCCGGAAACGGGUGCUAAUACUGGAUAUUCACUGGUCUUCGCAUGGGGGUUGGUGGAAAGGGUUUUUCUGGUGGGGGAUGGGCUCGCGGCCUAUCAGCUUGUUGGUGGGGUGAUGGCCUACCAAGGCUUUGACGGGUGGCCGGCCUGAGAGGGUGACCGGUAACAUUGGGACUGAGAUACGGCCCAGACUCCUACGGGAGGCAGCAGUGGGGAAUAUUGCACAAUGGGCGCAAGCCUGAUGCAGCGACGCCGCGUGAGGGAUGGAGGCCUUCGGGUUGUGAACCUCUUUCGCUCAUGGUCAAGCCGCAACAAUGGUUGUGGUGAGGGUAGUGGGUAAAGAAGCGCCGGCUAACUACGUG